AGUCCAUGAAGAGGACACCCUCUCAACAAAUCCUUAAAUCUCUCCCAUGUAUCAUAAAGUGUCUCAAUAUCAAACUGAACAAAAGAAGAAAUGUCAUUCCUCAACAU
This is a non-coding RNA of Gossypium hirsutum (cotton), 107 nucleotides long. The record is from Rfam. NCBI's taxonomy places the organism in Eukaryota, Viridiplantae, Streptophyta, Magnoliopsida, Malvales, Malvaceae.